AUUGAACGCUGGCGGCAUGCUUUACACAUGCAAGUCGAACGGCAGCGCGGGCUUCGGCCUGGCGGCGAGUGGCGAACGGGUGAGUAAUACAUCGGAACGUGCCCAGUAGUGGGGGAUAGCUCGGCGAAAGCCGGAUUAAUACCGCAUACGACCUGAGGGUGAAAGCGGGGGACCUUCGGACCUCGCGCUAUUGGAGCGGCCGAUGGCAGAUUAGCUAGUUGGUGGGGUAAAGGCCUACCAAGGCGACGAUCUGUAGCUGGUCUGAGAGGACGACCAGCCACACUGGGACUGAGACAUGGCCCAGACUCCUACGGGAGGCAGCAGUGGGGAAUUUUGGAGAAAGGGCGAAAGCCUGAUCCAGCAAUGCCGCGUGUGUGAUGAAGGCCUUCGGGUUGUAAAGCACUUUUGGCGGGAACGAAAAGGACUGUGCCAAUACCACGGUUCGAUGACGGUACCCGCAGAAUAAGCACCGGCUAACUACGUG
This 484-nucleotide ribosomal RNA is filed under the name uncultured bacterium. RNAcentral's name for it is "partial 16S ribosomal RNA". It matches the Rfam family "Bacterial small subunit ribosomal RNA", at positions 29 to 507 of the family's 1533-position model. The record is from RNAcentral.